UACAGAGGGUGCGAGCGUUAAUCGGAAUUACUGGGCGUAAAGCGUGCGUAGACGGUUAUUUAAGUCGGAUGUGAAAGCCCCGGGCUCAACCUGGGAAUUGCAUUCGAGACUGAAUAGCUAGGGUACGGUAGAGGGAAGCGGAAUUUCCGGUGUAGCGGUGAAAUGCGUAGAUAUCGGAAGGAACAUCAGUGGCGAAAGCGGCUUCCUAGACCAGUACCGACGUUCAGGCACGAAAGCGUGGGGAGCAAACAGG
RNAcentral lists this ribosomal RNA (253 nucleotides) under uncultured bacterium. Its description in RNAcentral is "partial 16S ribosomal RNA". It matches the Rfam family "Bacterial small subunit ribosomal RNA", at positions 524 to 776 of the family's 1533-position model. The record is from RNAcentral.